AAUGAACGCUGGCGGCAGGCCUAACACAUGCAUGUCGAACGGAUCCUUCGGGAUUAGUGGCGGACGGGUGCGUAACGCGUGGGAACAUACCCAAAGGUACGGAAUAGCCUCGGGAAACUGGGAGUAAUACCGUAUGUGCUCGAAAGAGGAAAGAUUUAUCGCCUUUGGAUUAGCCCGCGUUGGAUUAGGUAGUUGGUGGAGUAAUGGCCUACCAAGCCGACGAUCCAUAGCUGGUUUGAGAGGAUGAUCAGCCACACUGGGACUGAGACACGGCCCAGAGUCCGACGGGAAGCAGAGGUGGGGAAUCUUAGACAAUGGGGGAAACCCUGAUCGAGCCAUGCCGGAUGAUCGAUGAAGGCCUUAGGGUUGUAAAGUUCUUUCAGGUGGGAAGAUAAUGACUGUACCACCAGAAGAGGCCCCGGCUAACUCCGUGCCAGCAGCCGCCGUAA
RNAcentral lists this ribosomal RNA (449 nucleotides) under uncultured bacterium. RNAcentral describes it as "partial 16S ribosomal RNA". It matches the Rfam family "Bacterial small subunit ribosomal RNA", at positions 29 to 523 of the family's 1533-position model. The record is from RNAcentral.